CGAACAACUGCGAAAGCAUUUGCC
Molecule: non-coding RNA, 24 nt
Filed under: Arabidopsis thaliana (thale cress)
Lineage: Eukaryota; Viridiplantae; Streptophyta; Magnoliopsida; Brassicales; Brassicaceae
Source: RNAcentral